This 234-nucleotide long non-coding RNA is filed under the name Mytilus galloprovincialis (Mediterranean mussel). The record is from RNAcentral. Lineage: Eukaryota; Metazoa; Mollusca; Bivalvia; Mytilida; Mytilidae.
AAAUUUUGAAGAUUCUUGAUUUUCUUUCUUUUGUUUUGAGAUCCAAAUAAUACCAGUUCUAAUAUAAGGUAAAAGUCCGAGUCAGCCUUUUCCCGCUUUUUUUUAAAUCUCAAAUAUUUGGAAAAGGAGGUCCAUGACCUAUCAAUAUUUUUAGCUUAUCUUUAUCCUCAAUAUAUUCUCUACCAGCUUCUAGUAUCAAUUUUAAUUUCUUGAUUUCUUAAUUUUUACCUAACC